RNAcentral lists this ribosomal RNA (347 nucleotides) under Zosterisessor ophiocephalus (grass goby). Its description in RNAcentral is "partial 12S ribosomal RNA". It matches the Rfam family "Bacterial small subunit ribosomal RNA", at positions 867 to 1383 of the family's 1533-position model. The record is from RNAcentral. Lineage: Eukaryota; Metazoa; Chordata; Actinopteri; Gobiiformes; Gobiidae.
GUUCGCCCGGGUACAACGAGCCCCAGCUUAAAACCCAAAGGACUUGGCGGUGCUUUAGACCCCCCUAGAGGAGCCUGUUCUAGAAUCGAUUUUCCCCGUUCAACCUCACCCCCUCUUGUUCUUCCCGCCUGUAUACCGCCGUCGUCAGCUUACCCUGUGAAGGUAAAGUAGUAAGCACAAUUGGCACAGCCAAAAAGUCAGGUCAAGGUGUAGCGUAUGAGGGGGGAAGAAAUGGGCUACAUUUGCUGACCCAGCAAAUACGGAUGUUGCACUGAAACAAGCAUCUGAAGGAGGAUUUAGUAGUAAGGGGAGAUUAGAGAGCUCCCCUGAAACCGGCCCUGAGCGCG